This 438-nucleotide long non-coding RNA is filed under the name Ictidomys tridecemlineatus (thirteen-lined ground squirrel). RNAcentral describes it as "lncRNA (ENSSTOG00000029619.1)". Lineage: Eukaryota; Metazoa; Chordata; Mammalia; Rodentia; Sciuridae. The record is from RNAcentral.
GGCACCUCGCGUUCGGAGGGGGAAAAAAUGAGGAGGGUGGGAGUGGGAGGAGGCACAGCCUGCCCUCCCCCUCCUCGCCCACCCAGGUCCACACCCACUGCCGCAGUGAGGGGCGAGCCCUACGCGCCAGCCCCGCGCCUCCGGCAGAGAGCGCACACGCCGGGCGCCAGGCUCAGAGCACAGAGAAAGGAACCCGCCCCGAAAUGCACCUGCAGACCCCGCGCCCGUCUGUGCAGGGCUGCGGCUGUGCGCGCCCGUGAACAGGGAGCCGUGGCCGCCGAGUCUCCUGAACAUCGCAAGGCCAGAUGGGCUUGUUGCUGAAGCGAGUCAGAUUGGCAGCAUCCAGGGUUUCCGGUGCCUUAGAAGUGUGUGACUGAUGGGCCAUGAGCAGGUGAGGUCCAGGCACCUGUGGCUGAAGGCAGCCUCUGGGCGGUGGAG